Molecule: ribosomal RNA, 467 nt
Filed under: uncultured bacterium
Lineage: Bacteria
Description: partial 16S ribosomal RNA
Rfam family: Bacterial small subunit ribosomal RNA
Source: RNAcentral
GACGAACGCUGGCGGCGUGCUUAACACAUGCAAGUCGAACGGAAAGGCCUCUUUCGGGGGGUACUCGAGUGGCGAACGGGUGAGUAACACGUGAGUAACCUGCCCUUGACUUUGGGAUAACUUCAGGAAACUGGGGCUAAUACCGGAUAGGAGCUCCUGCUGCAUGGUGGGGGUUGGAAAGUUUCGGCGGUUGGGGAUGGACUCGCGGCUUAUCAGCUUGUUGGUGGGGUAGUGGCUUACCAAGGCUUUGACGGGUAGCCGGCCUGAGAGGGUGACCGGCCACAUUGGGACUGAGAUACGGCCCAGACUCCUACGGGAAGCAGCAGGGGGGAAUAUUGCACAAGGGGUGGAAGCCUGAUGCAGCAACGCCGUGUGCGGGAGGACGGCCUUCGGGUUGUAAACCGCUUUCGCUCAUGACGAAGCUUUGUGUGACGGUAGUGGGUAAAGAAGCACCGGCUAACUACGUG